RNAcentral lists this transfer RNA (86 nucleotides) under Streptomyces phage Gilson. RNAcentral's name for it is "tRNA-Leu". It matches the Rfam family "tRNA". Rfam says of the family: Transfer RNA (tRNA) molecules are approximately 80 nucleotides in length. Their secondary structure includes four short double-helical elements and three loops (D, anti-codon, and T loops). Further hydrogen bonds mediate the characteristic L-shaped molecular structure. tRNAs have two regions of fundamental functional importance: the anti-codon, which is responsible for specific mRNA codon recognition, and the 3' end, to which the tRNAs corresponding amino acid is attached (by aminoacyl-tRNA synthetases). tRNAs cope with the degeneracy of the genetic code in two manners: having more than one tRNA (with a specific anti-codon) for a particular amino acid; and 'wobble' base-pairing, i.e. permitting non-standard base-pairing at the 3rd anti-codon position. RNAcentral also lists the same sequence under 5 other names. The record is from RNAcentral. Lineage: Duplodnaviria; Heunggongvirae; Uroviricota; Caudoviricetes; Stanwilliamsviridae.
GGCCGCAUGGCGGAAUUUGGCAUACGCGAUAGUCUCAAAAACUAUUGUCCGAAAGGAAUUGAGGGUUCAAGUCCCUCUGCGGCUAC